RNAcentral lists this long non-coding RNA (199 nucleotides) under Elaeis guineensis (African oil palm). Its description in RNAcentral is "long non-coding RNA (EGUI_LNC067510)". Lineage: Eukaryota; Viridiplantae; Streptophyta; Magnoliopsida; Arecales; Arecaceae. The record is from RNAcentral.
UGAGCAUCUUAAGAAAAAAAAAUUUAACUAUCAAGAUGCAAUCUCUGCAAGGAAGCUAGCACCUUAGUGAGAUCAAGAAGUUUCUGAUUAGAUUGAAGUCUCAUAUGGAUACCCAUAAAGGUCGGACAUUUGUGCAGCAUCAAGAGACUUUCAGAAGAUAUCCAUGAUCAUCAGUUCAUGGUAUUGAUCGACCCGAGCC